RNAcentral lists this transfer RNA (65 nucleotides) under Urocitellus parryii (Arctic ground squirrel). RNAcentral describes it as "Spermophilus parryii (Arctic ground squirrel) tRNA". It matches the Rfam family "tRNA". Rfam says of the family: Transfer RNA (tRNA) molecules are approximately 80 nucleotides in length. Their secondary structure includes four short double-helical elements and three loops (D, anti-codon, and T loops). Further hydrogen bonds mediate the characteristic L-shaped molecular structure. tRNAs have two regions of fundamental functional importance: the anti-codon, which is responsible for specific mRNA codon recognition, and the 3' end, to which the tRNAs corresponding amino acid is attached (by aminoacyl-tRNA synthetases). tRNAs cope with the degeneracy of the genetic code in two manners: having more than one tRNA (with a specific anti-codon) for a particular amino acid; and 'wobble' base-pairing, i.e. permitting non-standard base-pairing at the 3rd anti-codon position. RNAcentral also lists the same sequence under 1 other name. Lineage: Eukaryota; Metazoa; Chordata; Mammalia; Rodentia; Sciuridae. The record is from Rfam by way of RNAcentral.
GGUAUAGUUCAGUGGUAGAGCACGUGCUUAGCAUGCAUGAUGCCCUGGGUUUGAUCCCCAGCACC